UUUCUAUGUCAGUAUGUAAUAAAUGUAAUAAUGACACUUUCUAGGAUUACACAAGAAAUUUAUGAUGCUCCUUACUGUGACAAGUGGCAAGUUAAUACUAUGGAUACAGUUAUUGCCGGGCAUAGUCAUGCAAAGCUCCAGACUGAUUGGCACUACCAGGGUAUGGAAAAAAAGAGGUCCUCAACCUCUUUAAUGCCAAAACACUAACACAGGUGGUUGUAACCAGCUGUGCCAAACCUGUCCCCUUGGCCAAAAUGAUCCCGAGCUGGUUUGGUUGUUGGCUCCUUGUAACCGAGGGGAAAAAAACAGUUUGAAAAUCUAAUUGUUCAGGACAAAGGAUGUGAGCCAGUUAGCCAGGAGCAGUCUACAAAGUCACAAAUGCAGAAAGUGCUGUGUUCUUCGAGAAACAAAAGCUUUCAUACAGACAAUAACAGGCCUACAAGACUAUCUGUGGAGGCAACACUACCUCAUCAAAUGUUCUUUUUAAAAAAACAAAAUACCUCAUAGACAUAAAAAUGCAGUUGAAGGGAUUGUACACCAGA
Mya arenaria is the source of this 542-nucleotide long non-coding RNA. RefSeq lists it as uncharacterized. Lineage: Eukaryota; Metazoa; Mollusca; Bivalvia; Myida; Myidae. The record is from RefSeq and is a predicted model, not a curated record. The transcript has 3 exons.